This 524-nucleotide ribosomal RNA is filed under the name uncultured Lactobacillus sp. RNAcentral describes it as "bacterial SSU rRNA". It matches the Rfam family "Bacterial small subunit ribosomal RNA", at positions 505 to 1026 of the family's 1533-position model. The record is from RNAcentral. Lineage: Bacteria; Bacillati; Bacillota; Bacilli; Lactobacillales; Lactobacillaceae.
GUGCCAGCCGCUGCGGUAAUACGUAGGUGGCAAGCGUUGUCCGGAUUUAUUGGGCGUAAAGCGAGCGCAGGCGGUUUUUUAGGUCUGAUGUGAAAGCCUUCGGCUUAACCGGAGAAGUGCAUCGGAAACCGGGAGACUUGAGUGCAGAAGAGGACAGUGGAACUCCAUGUGUAGCGGUGAAAUGCGUAGAUAUAUGGAAGAACACCAGUGGCGAAGGCGGCUGUCUGGUCUGCAACUGACGCUGAGGCUCGAAAGCAUGGGUAGCGAACAGGAUUAGAUACCCUGGUAGUCCAUGCCGUAAACGAUGAGUGCUAAGUGUUGGAGGGUUUCCGCCCUUCAGUGCUGCAGCUAACGCAUUAAGCACUCCGCCUGGGGAGUACGACCGCAAGGUUGAAACUCAAAGGAAUUGACGGGGGCCCACACAAGCGGUGGAGCAUGUGGUUUAAUUCGAUGCUACGCGAAGAACCUUACCAGGUCUUGACAUCUUCUGCUAACCUAAGAGAUUAGGCGUUCCCGUUACGGGG